AUACUUGCCUCGACGGGGUCUAUGGGUGAUCAAUAAGGCUCAUGGCCUAGGUCAACGGCUCACAGUGCACGUGGUCACUGCAUUGAUCUACCAUCUCCCCUCUAUGGAAGAGUGGACGUCGUAAUUUGUGAUAGAGGGGGUACGCGUUCGCGCGGCCCCGUC
This 162-nucleotide small nuclear RNA is filed under the name Aegilops tauschii subsp. strangulata. RNAcentral describes it as "snRNA U1". It matches the Rfam family "U1 spliceosomal RNA". Rfam says of the family: U1 is a small nuclear RNA (snRNA) component of the spliceosome (involved in pre-mRNA splicing). Its 5' end forms complementary base pairs with the 5' splice junction, thus defining the 5' donor site of an intron. Lineage: Eukaryota; Viridiplantae; Streptophyta; Magnoliopsida; Poales; Poaceae. The record is from Rfam by way of RNAcentral.